CAGUAGCGUAUAUUUAAGUUGUUGCAGUUAAAAAGCUCGUAGUCGGAUUUUGGCUGAGAACGAUCGGUCCGCCGUUAGGUGUGCACUGAUUGGUCUCAGCUUCCUGGUGAGGAGGUGUGCUUCACGGCCACUUAGUCACCGUGGUUACUUUGAAAAAAUUAGAGUGUUCAAAGCGGGCUUACGCUUGAAUAUAUUAGCAUGGAAUAACACCAUAGGACUCCUGUCCUAUUUCGUUGGUCACGGGACGGGAGUAAUGAUUAAGAGGAACAGUUGGGGGCAUUCGUAUUUCAUUGUCAGAGGUGAAAUUCUUGGAUUUAUGAAAGACGAACUUCUGCGAAAGCAUUUGCCAAGGAUGUUUUCAUUGA
RNAcentral lists this ribosomal RNA (365 nucleotides) under uncultured eukaryote. Its description in RNAcentral is "partial 18S ribosomal RNA". It matches the Rfam family "Eukaryotic small subunit ribosomal RNA", at positions 592 to 976 of the family's 1831-position model. The record is from RNAcentral.